This 73-nucleotide transfer RNA is filed under the name Dryaderces aff. inframaculata DO-2022. Its description in RNAcentral is "tRNA-Asn". The record is from RNAcentral. Lineage: Eukaryota; Metazoa; Chordata; Amphibia; Anura; Hylidae.
UAGAAUGAAGCUCGCUGGAUUGAGCUUUUAGCUGUUAACUAAAAUUUUACGGGAUCAAGGCCCGUCUUUCUAG